Molecule: ribosomal RNA, 266 nt
Filed under: uncultured Staphylococcus sp.
Lineage: Bacteria; Bacillati; Bacillota; Bacilli; Caryophanales; Staphylococcaceae
Description: partial 16S ribosomal RNA
Rfam family: Bacterial small subunit ribosomal RNA
Source: RNAcentral
CGGCGGACGGGUGAGUAACACGUGGAUAACCUACCUAUAAGACUGGGAUAACUUCGGGAAACCGGAGCUAAUACCGGAUAAUAUAUUGAACCGCAUGGUUCAAUGGUGAAAGACGGUUUUGCUGUCACUUAUAGAUGGAUCCGCGCCGCAUUAGCUAGUUGGUAAGGUAACGGCUUACCAAGGCAACGAUGCGUAGCCGACCUGAGAGGGUGAUCGGCCACGCUGGAACUGAGACACGGUCCAGACUCCUACGGGAGGCAGCAGUG